This is a non-coding RNA of Arachis ipaensis, 331 nucleotides long. Lineage: Eukaryota; Viridiplantae; Streptophyta; Magnoliopsida; Fabales; Fabaceae. The record is from RefSeq and is a predicted model, not a curated record.
UCUCCGUCCAUGUUCUCUCCAUCACAGGAGCUUCUUUCACCGCCGCCGCUCUCUCCAUCGCUCCGUCCACGAUCUCAUCACUGACAGCAACUGCCAUUCGCUGGUCAUCCUCAUCCACCAGUUCAGGUAUGGCUUCAGGAAUCGAAACCAUUACACACUAACAAACCAACAAACCCUAGCAACAACAUUAUCAAUCUUACUCUCACUUUGUAAACUUGAAGUGCAGCGAUUAGAAUCUUCUCUGGUUAGAUUUCAUUGUGGUGUAUAAACGGUAGAUGAUGAAAUUUGUACAUUUGUGGUGGUCCUGCUUCAUUGUGCUUCAAAAUCUCCA